RNAcentral lists this ribosomal RNA (261 nucleotides) under uncultured bacterium. RNAcentral describes it as "partial 16S ribosomal RNA". It matches the Rfam family "Bacterial small subunit ribosomal RNA", at positions 793 to 1055 of the family's 1533-position model. The record is from RNAcentral.
GUCCAUGCCGUAAACGAUGUCUACUAGCCGUUGGGAGACUUGAUUUCUUAGUGGCGCAGCUAACGCAAUAAGUAGACCGCCUGGGGAGUACGGCCGCAAGGUUAAACUCAAAUGAAUUGACGGGGCCCGCACAAGCGGUGGAGCAUGUGGUUUAAUUCGAUGCAACGCGAAGAACCUUACCAGGUCUUGACAUCCCUGAAACUUUCUAGAGAUAGAUUGGUGCCUUCGGGAAUCAGGUGACAGGUGCUGCAUGGCUGUCGU